This 623-nucleotide small RNA is filed under the name Pan troglodytes (chimpanzee). RNAcentral describes it as "processed transcript". Lineage: Eukaryota; Metazoa; Chordata; Mammalia; Primates; Hominidae. The record is from RNAcentral.
GUCACCGGAUUGAAACUGUCUCAGGACCUCGAUGAUCUUGCCAUUCUCUACCUGGCCACAGUUCAAGCCAUUGCUGAAGCAAUGGCAAAAAUGAGCAAAGUUGGGAAAGUUGUGUUCCCGAGACUACAGGAUAAAAAACUAUUUCCUGUAUGAUAUCCUAUGGGAAGCCAGAGGUGUUGUAAUCCAGAAACACCCAUUGUUCACCAGGACUGCAGGACACAUGCUUUCAGAAUUCAAGGGCAUAGUUACAAAUAAUUACCAUCAAGAAUUUAAAAUGAAGGACAUCGUUGCUAAACAAGAAACUAAUGACUGAGUGGAGCUGUGUAAUGUAAUUAUACUUAAGAUGGGACUUCUGACGAAUUACAGAAGAAUCUUUGUGCUGUCUCAUGUCUCCAUAAAUACACUUAACCGCUAUUGACAGUAAUAGGAGGGAGUCUUGAAUAUGAAAAGCUUUUUUUAUCCUUUUAUGAUUUCUAGAGGGAAAACUUAAAAGAACAAUUAUAUUUUUAAAAAAGAUGUUUCUCCCAGUACUUCUGAAUAUUUGACAAUCCUAUAAAAUUUGUAAAACUAAAGUAACUUUAAAAGCAAAGACUUCUGCUAAUAAAUCCCGACUUCUCAAUUUA